GGUGGUUUGUCGCGUUGUUCGUGAAAUCUCACGGCUUAACUGUGAGCGUGCGGGCGAUACGGGCAGACUUGAGUACUGCAGGGGAGACUGGAAUUCCUGGUGUAGCGGUGGAAUGCGCAGAUAUCAGGAGGAACACCGGUGGCGAAGGCGGGUCUCUGGGCAGUAACUGGCGCUGAGGAGCGAAAGCGUGGGGAGCGAACAGGAUUAGAUACCCUGGUAGUCCACGCCGUAAACGGUGGGUACUAGGUGUGGGUUUCCUUCCUUGGGAUCCGUGCCGUAGCUAACGCAUUAAGUACCCCGCCUGGGGAGUACGGCCGCAAGGCUAAAACUCAAAGAAAUUGACGGGGGCCCGCACAAGCGGCGGAGCAUGUGGAUUAAUUCGAUGCAACGCGAAGAACCUUACCUGGGUUUGACAUGCACAGGACGCCGGCAGAGAUGUCGGUUCCCUUGUGGCCUGUGUGCAGGUGGUGCAUGGCUGUCGUCAGCUCGUGUCGUGAGAUGUUGGGUUAAGUCCCGCAACGAGCGCAACCCUUGUCUCAUGUUGCCAGCGGGUAAUGCCGGGGACUCGUGAGAGACUGCCGGGGUCAACUCGGAGGAAGGUGGGGAUGACGUCAAGUCAUCAUGCCCCUUAUGUCCAGGGCUUCACACAUGCUACAAUGGCCGGUACAAAGGGCUGCGAUGCCGCGAGGUUAAGCGAAUCCUUUUAAAGCCGGUCUCAGUUCGGAUCGGGGUCUGCAACUCGACCCCGUGAAGUCGGAGUCGCUAGUAAU
RNAcentral lists this ribosomal RNA (770 nucleotides) under uncultured Mycobacterium sp. RNAcentral's name for it is "bacterial SSU rRNA". It matches the Rfam family "Bacterial small subunit ribosomal RNA", at positions 574 to 1342 of the family's 1533-position model. The record is from RNAcentral. Lineage: Bacteria; Bacillati; Actinomycetota; Actinomycetes; Mycobacteriales; Mycobacteriaceae.